Molecule: ribosomal RNA, 451 nt
Filed under: Praticolella candida
Lineage: Eukaryota; Metazoa; Mollusca; Gastropoda; Stylommatophora; Polygyridae
Description: partial 16S ribosomal RNA
Rfam family: Bacterial large subunit ribosomal RNA
Source: RNAcentral
UCGCCUGUUUAUCAAAAACAUAACUAUAGGGGAUAUCUAUAGCGAUUUCUGCUCAAUGUGAGAAUAAAUAGCCGCAGUACUCUGACUGUGCUAAGGUAGCAUAAUCAAUAGGCUUUUAAUUUAAGUCUGGUAUGAAGGAAGAUUUGGGGGUUAACUGUCUCCUGGGGAAAGGUUGAAUUUUUUCAAAAAGUGCAAAGACUUUUUCUUAAUUAUUAGACGAGAAGACCCUAGAAAUUUUUUAAUGUAUUUUGUUGGGGCGACAAGGUAACAGCUAACUUACCUAUAGAUUAGGAGUAUUAUUUACGGAGCAAAGAAAUUACUCUAGGGAUAACAGCAUAAUUUUUUAAAGUUUGUGACCUCGAUGUUGGACUAGGGACCGUUAAGUUUAGAAGAAUUAAUUGGUUGCUCUGUUCGAGCAAAUAUUACCUACCUGAUCUGGAUUCAGACCGGA